This is a non-coding RNA of Bos taurus (domestic cattle), 71 nucleotides long. The record is from Rfam. Lineage: Eukaryota; Metazoa; Chordata; Mammalia; Artiodactyla; Bovidae.
UACCAGGUGGCUCAGUGGUAAAGUAUCUGCCUGCUAAGCAGGAGAUGCAGGUUCGAUCCCUGAGUUGGGAA